Molecule: ribosomal RNA, 120 nt
Filed under: Helianthus annuus (common sunflower)
Lineage: Eukaryota; Viridiplantae; Streptophyta; Magnoliopsida; Asterales; Asteraceae
Source: RNAcentral
GAUUGCGAUCAUACCAGCACUAAUGCACCGGAUCCCAUCAGGACUCCGUAGUUAAGCGUGCUUGGGUGAGAGUAGUACUAAGAUGGGUGACCCCCUGGGAAGUCUUCGUGUUGCAACUCC